This 3484-nucleotide small RNA is filed under the name Pyricularia oryzae. Its description in RNAcentral is "Magnaporthe oryzae sRNA M_BR32_EuGene_00128231". The record is from RNAcentral. Lineage: Eukaryota; Fungi; Ascomycota; Sordariomycetes; Magnaporthales; Pyriculariaceae.
UAAUAUAAUCGGGCGUAAUACGGGCUUUCAUUAUUAUAUAUUAUAUUUGUUUUUUCCUUUUUAAUAUAACGUGUCGGAAAUUCCCGUUAAUCGGUUCAAAUAAAAACGUAAAUUAUAAUCAAAUUUUGAAAACGUUUCCGCCUAAGGUAUUUAUAUUUCCGAAAUUCUUUUAAACUUAAAGAAGUAUUUUAACGUUUUAUAAUUUGUUAAAAUUAUAAAAAGUUGGCGAAUAUUAUAAAACUCCGUAUUUUAUAUUUUUUAAUAUAUUAUUACCGCAGAUAAUAUUUUAUUAUAAAUUAUAUAAUUUUUUCAAACGUCGGUUAAUUUAACCGAACAAAAUACGAUCGAAUAUUAUAUACCGUCCGUCUUUUUAACGAAAAAUAAUCCCCUGACGCCGCACCGGAAUAAUUUACUUCUAAUUUUAUAUUUUUCGCGUUAUCCCACAUAAAAAUAUAAAUAUUUGGAAAAAUGCGAAUUUUAACGUUUCUCACAUUUUUUCGAAUUUAUUUAUUUAUUAAAACGGGGUUUUUUUAUAAAUAUUAAUAACGGGGCCGUUAACGAUAAAUAACCGCUUAUAAAUCGCGGUAAAAAUUCGCAAACCCCAAAAAACUGUGAAACUUCCGGAAUUUCGUCGGGGUUUUCCAAUUUCGAAUUACUUUUAUUUUUGCGGGGUUGGUUUAAAAUCUUUCCCAUAUUUCUAUAAUAAAUUCCAAAUAUUUAAUUUUUUUACCGCGAACGUGUUUUUAUCGAAAUUCAAAUUAAAUCCCGUUAUAAUUAACCUAUUUAAUAUCCGGGCUAUUUUCGACCAAUAAUUAAAUUCGGAACCGGAAAAAUAUAUAAAAAUAUUAUGCGAAUGAAUUAAUAAAUAAUUUUCCAAUAUAUAAUUUAAUAUAUUAUUAAUAUAAUAUUGGAUAAUUGCAAACAUUCCGGCGAAUUUAAAUAAAUAUAUUAAGUAUUCGAAUAAUUUGAAAUAUACUUUAAACGCCGUAAAAUAUUCAUCGUUUUCCGCAGUUUGUAAUUUGUACAAUACCGCGCGCACGUUAGAAAACGUAUUAGUUUUUAAAUCAACGGUAAGAAAUAGCGGUUUUAUAUAAUAUAAUUAUUUAAACAUUGACAAUUUACGUAUAAUUUCCAAUUUCCUAAUAUUUUGCGCAUUAGUUUAGUUGGAGUGGUCGCCGAUAAAAUAUUAACGCUAACUUAAUUUUUAUUCAUUAUAUAUAUUACUUGGUAUUAUUAUUUUAACGAUUGUUUUUAUAAUAUAUGGUAAAAACGGUUGUAUAAAAAGGACGGGGUUCUUCCAGACUUAUUCUUUUGCAACCAAAUAUACUAAUAGAAAUAAUCUUGGUAUAAUAAUAAUUUAAACGUUUUCAUUUUAUUAAAUAUAUAUGCGAAUUUCGCGAAUUCGGGGAAAAAUAUUAUUUAUACCGGCGUUUAUUUAUAUAUAACCGUUAUUUGCAAAAUAUUCGCCAUUUUCCGGAAAAAUAUUAACACAAAUUCCAUUUGUUCGCCGUCGCGUUUUUUUAUUCACCAAUACGCGGUUAAAAAAACGUUAACAAUAAUUAUUGUGGAUUUGGUUAAAAUAGGGUGUAUAAACAAUUUAUUUGUUAAUAUAUUUUUACAGCGUCCAUAAUUAAUUUUUUCCGCGCCGCGUUAAAUAACAUCCGCUGGUUAAUUAUCCAAAAUAAUUUUAAUAUUACGUUCCGGACUAACCCCGGUAUAAUAUAAAAAAUAUCGGCGUUAUCCAUUUAUUAAUAUUUAUUUUAUAUUUGCCCAAUUUUUUAAUUAUUGGUUAAAUGCGUUUUACCGUCGUACCCAAUUGGCGCGCGCGGGGUAAGAAUAUGUUUUUAAUUUCUAACCGGAAUAUAUAUUUAUUAUUUAUCGUCGCGUAAUAUUUACAAUUUCAAUUUAUUUAUAUAUCAAUAAAUUGCAAAUUAUUUAAUAUAAUAAAAAUAAAAAACGACGUUCCGUUUAUAAAACGUCGAAUUAAACCGAUUUUGUUAUAUUUGUUUUUCGGGCUUUUAUUCGUUUUUAUUUUUAUUACGUUUUGCGGUUUUUAUUUUCGAUUAAAUUUUGUGUCAAAAAUUAUUUGUUUUUUUUCGGGGAUUUCCAUCGUAAUUGCUGUUAUUAUUAUAAAAAAACGUAAUACCGUUGCGUAUAUAUAAUUAGUUAUUUAAUAGCCCGAAUUACCGCAACGCAAUUACGCUUUUAUUUCGCGUUUCCGUUAAUAUUUAUUAUAAACGAUUUAAUAAACGCGUGGACGCGUAUUUCUUUAAUCAGAAUCCGAAAAUUAGGCCUGUUUAAAUUAACGGCGCCUUUUCGUUUUUUUAUUAAAUUUGAAAUUUAUCGCGGUUAUAUUUAUUAUAAACGUAUUUUCGUUUUUUAUUAAUUUGGGAACCGGGGCGGUAUUUCCGCGGUAAAAACCGAAACGUUUAUCUAAUUCGAUCGUUUGAAGAUUUCAAAAAGUUUGGCAGUAAAUAACCACCGUUUUUAACUAAAUAUCGUUUGAAUAUUUAAUCCGACGUACAUUUCCCGGACUUUACAAAAUAUGCGAAAACGCACAAAAUUAAUAAUACGGAUUUUAACCAUUUAAACCAAUUUUCCGGCCGUAAUUGGAAGUUAUUCGAAAACAGUAAUAAAUUAGGCAAAUAAUGGGUUUAAUUUUACUACUAACGUUUCGAAUUCGCUUAAAAUCUAUACCCGUUUAUAAAGAUUAUUAUAUAUAUAUUCCAAAUAAUCCACAAAGUCCGCGUCGCGGCGGAAUUUAUAUUUUAUAAAGCAUUACCAUAUUAUAAACGAGGUCGGAGCGCCAUUAUAUAAUAGCGGAUUUCGGAACAAUUUACGUUUGACGGUACUGUUAUUUGUAAAAUUUCCGCGAUAAUUAACGUUAUCGGGGUACCCGUUUAUAAUAUUUGCAUUUUCUUUAUCAAUACGCGAUUAUCCGUUAUAAUUUUUAAAGCGCGGCGCCCGGUACCUAAACGACGGUUUUUUCCAUAAAUGGCGAAUUUAUUAUUUGUAAAAAAGAAAUAAUAAACGAUAAUAAAUAUUACAGCGUAAAUUAACAAUUAUAUAACGGUUGGGUACCCGAAAGGAAUUAUUAUUAUCGUUAAAGGAAAAGGAAAAAAAAGGGUACGGAAAAGGUUUUGGCGACCCUCCCUCCCUUAUAUAUAACGUGAAUUGUCACGUAAUCCCCGCUGCUAUUUAUAUACGGAAAUACGUGCGAUUAGUACGCAUCCGUAAUAUUAUACCGGUUUAAAUUGGCCUGUUACAAAUAAGAGGAAAAUGUUCCUUUACUAUAUAUAUAAUAAUAUAUAGACAUUUUUGUGCAAAAUAUUUUAGAGAUUAAUAAGACAUAAUUAUAUAAAAUAAUUGUUUUAAUAUUUAUUUCCUCCUAUAUAUUCCAUGAUAAACUAAUAAUAUUCCAAAAUAUAUAAAUUUCCAAGUUUAAUUGUUAUUAUAAUAUAAAAGUCUUGGAAAAAUUCUAUUU